AAGACAAUUUAAUGAGAAUUCUUUAAUGUGAGAUCAUUUAACAUGUAUCGAGAAUGCCUUUCAGAAAAUGUUUUUUUUUCCUUUUCCAAUUUAGAAGAGUCCCAAACAUACAAGGCCCAUAAGCCCACUUGGUCCAAAACUAGUAGAAAUAAGUUCAUUUUAGGUCUCUCAAAUUGUCACGAAGUAUCAAAAUCAUCCCUCGACCGCAAUACUAGAAAUGUUGACCCUUGAAAUUACAAAAACCGUUCAAAUUAGAUCCCUCAGCAGUAUUAGAGUGUAGUUUUGCUGAUGUGGCAUCCUAGUCAGAAAAAAAAAUAUUUAAAAAAAUCAUGGGACCUACAUGUCAGUUGCCAAGUCAGAAAAAAGUAUUCAAUAAAAUAUGGGGUCACUUGUCAGCCUAAUAAGCCUAAUAAGAAAAUAAAAAAAUCCCCUUUCUCCCCUCCCCAUCCAGGCCGGUGGCUGGAGCGCAGGUGGCGACAGCAGGCGCAGGCGGCAAGCGCCGGCAUGGACGGCUCGGUGCGGGACGGCGGCGGCAAGCGCGGCGCCGAUGGCGUGCACCGCAACCUCGUCGAGCCUCUCGCCGAAGCACAUGAGUACGAGGAGGCAGAACAUGGCGUACCGGAACGUCUCCACCACGCCGGGCGCCGCGGGGUCCGAGCCCAAACCCGCGACCGCGAGCUUCUCGACGAGCACGCGGCGAACCCAGGAGCGCGCAGGCGCGAAGAGACGGACACGCGACGCGUCUCGGCGAUGAGGUUGCGGCGGAGGAGGCGCCACACGGGCCCGUAGCUGGACCGCGUGAUGGUGUUGGCGUUCUCGCCGAGCAGCGAGCGUGCGACCUCCNNNNNNNNNNNNNNNNNNNNNNNNNNNNNNNNNNNNNNNNNNNNNNNNNNNNNNNNNNNNNNNNNNNNNNNNUUCCCGCGCCGCCGCCGCCAGCCCAGCCGCCACCGCCCCCCGUCGACGUGCUCUGGAGGAGGAAGUUAGGAUUUAGGAAGAAGAGAGGAUAGGAAGCGAGAAAGAGAGAGGAGAGUAAGGAGAGGAGGAGGGAGUAAAAAUAAAAAAUUCUGAUACGUGGGACCCACUCGUCGUCACGUCAACAAAACCGGUUAAAAGUGGAUCAAUACUGCCGAGAAACUUUUUUUAACAGAUUCUCUAAGUUUAUGGGUACAUAUUUAUGGCAUUACGGUAAAGGGACGAAAUACAAACUCGCAUUUAAGUUUAGGGACCUUUGAUAGACUUAUUCUAAACUAGUACUCCGUAGUACAGUGUUUCUUGAGGCAUAACGGCCCAUUUAAAAAUACCGUAGCAUUCUUCUCGGUCCAUUUUGAUCUGGCACUGCACCAGCCUCGUCAGUGCGGGAGUGCUGUGCGUCGCCUCUCUCGCCGCCGCCGCCGCACCCCCAUCUCCGCCGCAUCCGAGCCCCGAAGUUGCUGGAAGAGAGGAGGGAUCUAGCAGAGGAAGGAUGGGGUGGAAGGCUACGGAGAAGCUCAUCAGGCACUGGAAGAUCCUCUGCGGUGACAAUGUGAAUCUCUUUCCCCCAGCUUUCCUCCUCGUCCCCUAUAUGUUCUCGCAAAAUCUCCAAUUUCUCUCUGUUUGCUUCCAGGUGAUGAUCAUAAGAGGCAAGGAUAAGGGCGAGAGCGGGCUCAUCAAGCGGGUCAUCCGGUCGCAAAACCGUGUCAUUGUCGAGGGAAAGAAUCUGGUAAUGUAUUGCUAUAGACUAUACUGAUGCACCCUCGUCGAGUUAUUAUCAAACCCUACGUCGGUUUUGGGUUUGAUUGGUCGAAUGAUUUCAUAGUUUUGUGCUAUCGAUUUAACUAUCCUAGAAAAAAAUCACUUAUUAUUUAGCCUGAUACGAAUUGAUACAUAUUUCCCCCUUUUCCAGAGUUCAUAUUAGUAUUAGGAGCUGUAAACUGCUGUAACAAAUAUAAGCUCAACUAAUUUUCAUUAGAGUGAUGUUCAUGUCAACUAGAAAUUGUAAAUACUCAUAACAUAAUAUUAUUCCUCCGAGCAUACACCCAUUGUUGUAUAAGGAUAGCAUAGAUAUGAAGAUAGUUUGUAUCCAGAGAAACUGGGUGCCUUUUGUAUUUCGUCGUAUCUAUGAGUGCUGGGUGGUGUUUUACUCAACAAUUUAGCUUUGCAUUAUCAAAAAAAGGUAGUAGUAGUAAAAUAAUUUCGCAUGUACCAGUAGGCAUAGUAUAAUCAGAAUUUGUAGAUGUCUACUGGAUCCUUUUGUUUUAUGUACUGCAUCCUGGUACAUGUUGUAUCUCUUUUGUAUAUCAUGUGUGUGUAUGAUUUGUAUGCCAUAGCAAAUUAGUACCGAAUUAGUUGCUUCCAGUUUGAUAUUGAGGAAUUGAUUUUAGUGGAUGGCAACGAAGAAUGGUGAAACUGUAAAAACCUCAGGUCUUUUAUGUUAUUGUUACAUGUUACAUUUUUCUUGCUGGCUACUAGGCAGCUAUAAUUAGUAACAAGUAACAACCCAUAAUAUUUUUCUAGUCUUAUGUAUGUGAGUGUUCUCUGUUGUACAUAGGAAUUUUAUAGUAAUUGUGUGUUUAUGCCAUUUCAGGUUAAGAAGCAUAUUAAGCAAGGGGAAGGAUAUACAGGUGGGAUUCUCUCAAUUGAAGCCCCACUUCAUGUUUCAAAUGUUCAAGUACUUGAUCCUGGGUACGAUGCUUAAUUGUUCUUUCAUGAUAUCUAGACAUAUUUUUUUAUCUUCCAUUUCUACUGCAUCUUACUUGAAAAGGAGUAAAUUAUCCGCACAAUGUUAGCUACAGGAAACCAGGUAAGAUUGGAUACAAGUAUUUGGAAGAUGGAACUAAAGUCAGGUUUGCUAGAGGAAUGAAUGCAUCUGGUGUUAUGAUACCUAGGCCAGAAAUUUUGAAGGAACGAAGAAAGCCAACACCUACAUCACGUAUGUCUCCUAAGUACUAAUAGUGUGUUUGAUAAGAUAGAGCCAACUCAUUCUAAGCUUUGUUUAAUUCGUGAGUGGUUGGGAUAUGUUGCUCCUAAAAGAGAAUAUUUCUCUCAGAUCUGGAUCCAACCUAUCCCACCAAAUUGUCCGGACGGAUCGAACCUAGUUUCAUCGCGUGCACGCACAGGGGGUGACUGGGUGAGGGUAUCGCCGUAUCGGCACCUCCUCUUUCUCCUCUCGUCGUGAACUUGCGGCCGUCCAGGGGCUGGCGUCCGGCGGCGUCCAAGGAGCUAGCGGCCGGCCGCUGGGUUUGGCGCUGGUGGCGGCGGGGUGGGCACAGGGUGGCAGCGGGGUGGGCGCACCCGGCUGUCAGGAUGUGGUUGCUGCUGCGGAGGCUGCCUAUUUUUUGCUUGCCGGCAGCAAUGUUUUUUUUGCUGUGGUUGCUGCUGGGGAGGGCAAUGUUUUUGCUUGCUGUGGAUGCUUGCUCUGGGCAUGGCCAGCGGGGGAGGGCGCUGGUGGUGGCGGGGUUGCUGUGGUUGCCGACGGCGGGGACUGCACAGGAGGCCGACAUGAGGAGGCCGCGGAGGGCGCAUGUGGCUUGCUUGCUGUCAAUUUGCGCUUGCUGUGGCUGCACAUGAGGACGGCGACCAGGAUGUGCUUGCCAUAGAUUUUGAUGCAUAUUCGGAACAUGAUGCCUCUCUAAUUUUUUUUCACAAGUUGUUUUUUUGCAGAUAAGGAGGCUUUUAUUUUAUUAAAAUUAUUUAGAAUAUUUUAAAUGAAUAACUAUAUAUUUAAUUACUUUAGUUUAUUCAUAUAUUAAUUCUAGCAUUAAAUAUUUUUAUUUUGGAUAUAAGAGGUAACCUCACCAACUUAUAAUGGGAAGGUAAUCAUAUCCAAGCAUCUCAAGUUCAUCCCUUGAACUAAACAUGCAAUGGGUUCAAUCCAUUCCAUCUCAUGCCUUCAACCAAACAAAAAACAAGGUUCAACCUAUCCCUCUAACAAAUCAAAAAAAUGGAACCAACCUAUCCUGUAAAACAGGGAUGGAACUAACCCAUCCCACCUAGUCCACCAAUCAAACAAAUCCUAAAUAUCUGUCCCUUUCAAUAAAUACUAACAAAAGUGCUUAUAGUAACCUCGGGUACCAUGAAAUCAUGCAUAGUCACUACUAUAGAUGUUUCCUCUUAUGAUAUUUUACUUGGGAUUGAUUGUUGUGUGAUUGAAUGUAAUAGUAGUUAGUAAUAGUACAACCUGAAAGAAUUCUGAUCUGUUCACGGCAACGUUACAACUUGGUGUCAAAAUAUUAAAUAUAUUUGUUACAUAACUAUCUAUUUUUGCUAUGGGAAAAUUCCAGUUCUACUGAUAUUUGAGCAAAUGCAUUCUAUUCCUAGCAAUAUAUUACCCUGCAUAUGCUGUAUAUUUGAUUUCUGAGGAAACUAAAUUUCGCAAUUUUGUUUCAUUCAUGCAGCUGGCCCGAAGGAUACACCAAUUGACCUUGUGCUGGAGAAAACCUAUGAUGCCAAGGCUGAAAUUGGAAUGCCUGAUCUAUAAAGUUAGCAACGGGUUUUCUUCGGAGGAAGAGUUCAGUGUAUGUGUUUAUUUGACCACUUUUGCUAGUUAAGGUAGCAGUAAGUCUCUAUUACCAACUCUGCAUCUGUACCAGUCAACUUUCGAAAUAAUCCUGUAACGGUAAUUAUAGCCUCUUGUUUUGGUGAGAACUUUUAUCCUACUGUUUUUAUCCUACUGGAAAUGACUUCACAUUUGGGAAAGGUUCAAACCAUUAUUUCUUCAUAGAUUAUAUUCUGAGACCAACUUAUUCAAUUACUGUCGUUCAAUGUGCUCCGCGUACGUGUAUCUUCUGUUCCGCGGGAGAGACGAAGGCACGUAUUCGUUGCGCGGGAAACUUAAACUGUUUAAGGAGGUGUUUGGUCGGGGAAAUGAAAUAUUUUGAUAUCACAUUAAACGUUUGAUUGAAUGUCGGAAGUGUUUUUCGAACAUGAAUGAAAAAACGAAUUUCACGGCUCGCCUAGAAACCACGAGACGAAUCUUUUAAGCCUAAUUAAUCCGUUAUCAGCGCAUAUGGGUUACUAUAGCACUUAUGACUAAUUAUGGAUUAAUUAGGCUUAAAAGAUUUGUCUUACGAUUUCUAACAUGACUGUGCAAUUAGUUUUUCGUUUUAUUUAUGUUUAAUUUAAUGUUCUAUUUAGGUGUCUAAAGAUUCGAUGUAUUUUGGGAGAAAAUUUUUUGGAACUAAACGGGGCCUCAACGCAGCGACAUUGCGAUGGUGGUACUGGACUUCGACACAAACUCAGACGUACAAGCAGAUCGACACCGAUAAAGACUUGGAACCGAGUAAAAAAAACACAGCAGCAAAUCAGUGGCUAUCGACGAAGCUCUUGACGGCGUCGACGAGCUCCCGUGCCCGCGCCGCCGCGACGGGGUCGGACUCCACCGCGAACCAGUUGAGGUAGAAUAUGUGGCCGAUCCCGCGGCCGCGGCUGACCACCGUCUCCACCGCCUUCCCCGCGCGCGCCAUGGCCUCUCCGUACUCCACCUGCGGAUCACGCAGCAUGUCCUCCUCCGCGACCAUCAGCAGCAUCGGUGGCAGCCGCGCGCCCUCCGCCGCCCUUGCUGCCGCCGCCGGAGACGUGUACGGGUGGUCCCUGCCGGUGGUUCCUACCGGCAGCGCGAGCAUCACGAACUUGUCCACCGUCUCCUGCGUCAUGAGCGGGGUAGGCCGUAGGUGGGUUCUCCAGCUCCGACCGGCUCUUCUCCGGCCCGAUGAACCCGGGGUGGAGGAGGACCCCGCCGGGGGGGCGUNNNNNNNNNNGCGCCCCCCCCCAGCCCCGCGGGCGCGUGCCGCCACGUUGUGCACGAGGACGCCGCCCGCGCUGUCGCCGAUGAGGAACACGCGGGAGAAGUCGGCGGCGCUGCGGAGACGUUCCACCGCAGGGUCGAGCGCAACAUUGGAGCUACCGCCGGACGCGACGUCACGCAGCCAGAGCAGGGCGGCGUGGCCGGCGUCGAUGGCGGCGGGGAGGCGGUGCUCCGGCGUGAGCGGGAGGACGACGGAGACGAUGCCCGCGACGUCGAGCUCCACGGUGAGGCGGGCGUAGAAGUGAUGGUAAAGCGACCACGCUGCGUGGGAGACGCAGAAGGCGCCGCCGUGGAAAUGAAGUAGAACCGGGCGGCGACGGCGCCGGGCCAUCGUCGUAGGCUCCUCCUCCUCCGGCGCCGUGAGGUAGAGGCGGACGUCGACGCCACGGUCCGUGGCGACGUCGUGGACGGUGACCCCGUCACGUGGCUCCUCAUACGGCCGGACGAUUUCCAUGAAAGGGGCAGCCUCCGGCGGGCACAGCCGGUCGACGGAGCCGUCGGAGUAGACGCGGAUCCAGUUCGUGACGGACUCGACCAGCACCCUGGCCGGGUUAGCUGCCUCUUGCUGCUCCUUGGUGGCGGCCAUCUGUGGCAAUGUCGCCAUGGCAGCUAAGCUAUUGCAGGUAGGUAAACCAGUGAAGCUGUGAAAUUAACAAAGCUAGCUGAUCAACGUGCAUCUUAUAGACGCAGCAGUGCAGCACCAGUUGCUAGCUGAAAUAACUUGCAAAUUUCGCGCGCAAACGUACCUCGUGUGGACGCGCUAGCUUGACGUCGUCGGUGAUCUGUUUGAGCCUUAAUUUUUCUUGAGUCUUGAUGAGUCCUUUCGUCUCGGUCUAGCUUUAAUAAAGCUUUAACGUAUACUUUCUUAAUUUUUUAGUGACGUCAUUGACUUUUGAUCUACAUUUGACCGUUCGUCUUAUUAAAAAUUUUUAUUUAAAUAUACAAAAUUAUAAGUCAUAUUGAAAUUCCUAUAAUAAUAAAUUAAAUUAUAACAAAUAAUUAUAUUUAUAUUUUUUUAAUAAGAUAAAUUAUUAAACAUAAAUAUACAAAUCAACAGAGUUGUAUAAAAAACUCGAAGGGAAUAUAAAUUUAGAUAGGAAAUGGUGGCCUUUGCUGGAUCGAUUGGGCAACUAAUGGAGAUUGGACAAACACUAGCUGCACCCACCAAACUCUUCCAAUAAGAAGAUGGUGUCUGUCGGUCUGCCCUCUCAAAACUAUCUAGAAUAUAGGACCAUUAGUUUGCUCCACUAAGUUGUGGAUUGAUAUAUAUGGAAUACACAGCAAUGUGGUUGGAAUGUCUCCGUCCAAAACCAACUUAAGGCUGCUCAACUUUAGUUAACUCCACCAAACUCUUAUUAACUCCAAUAAGAAGAUGAUGUCAGUCGGCCUGUCUCUCAAAACUAUCUGGAAUAUAGGACACUAUUUUGCUCCGGUAAGUUAUGGAUCGGUGUAUAUGGUAAUGGAAUACACAGCAAUGUGGGGUUGGAAUGUCUCUGUCCAAAGCCAACUUCAGGCUGCUCGAUCAACUUUAGUUAAUUUGUUUAUUUUAUUCGUUUGAGUUCCGUAUAUUUUGCUAAAGUUAGUCAACUGCGAUUACCCUAAUCUCAUGGAGUUGACUAACGAUAGCCGUUAGAUAGAUCAAACUGCACUUCAAAUAUCGCUAGCACGAGAUCUUUUCUGCCGAGAACGACGACGACGACCGAACACCAGUGACCAAGCGAAAGCACAUCGCUGGUGCCGCUUUUUUUCCCCCCUCUCCCAGUGAAGCUGCAUUUUUUUCACUGAAGUAGCUUUCACUCGAGGGAUGUUGGGGAUGGCACAGUGUGAGCUGGAGAAGAUAUGGUUUUUCAUAUCGCUUGAUAUCCCUCACUGAUUAAUACCAUUUUUUCUUUCAAUCUGUAUAGAUUGAACUUAAACAUGUAUAACUUAUGGAGUAACAUAUUAUAUAAAAACAAAGUGACAUUCUUUUAUAGGAUGAAAUUAAUUUUACGGUACAUUUUACUAGCAGAGGAGGUAGUAGUAGUGUAGUAUAACAUAAAUCUCACUGUUGAUUAGUAUGGGUAUUUUAGACUUUUUUUUAAGAAAUAACAAGGGAAACAUCACCAUUGAUCUAUGUGGCGUUGGCCAACAGAGAAACAUCACCCGGCAAUAUCGACGCGAUCAUACCGGCCAAGAACUCAGCAGCAGGCUUAGACCCUUUGCUUGUGCAUUUUCUUUGAUUAAUUCACGGUAGUACGUGCAUGAUUCAUGCUAGCUAGGCAUAGUGGAUUAAUUAAACUUACAACAGCUGGAUAAUAUGUUAAAUUGGUAAUUAUUCUUGUCAAGUCUAAUUUUGCAUAGCUUUAAAGUUGUAAUAGAUGAUGUCAAAGUUCUUUGCAGCAAUUGUCUAGUAGAUUAUCGUGUAUGUGCUAUGUUCCUCUUCAUUGGAAACACUUAUGCUGAAGCAAGGUAUCGUGCUCUUGCCUGGCCGCGCCGGAGUCUGCCAUAUUUUGAAUAGAGAUAUUUGAAAACUAAUUGUCUGAUUGCUAUAUUUAAAAUAUAUGAUUAGUUUAUACCUUUUACGUCUUUUACCAUUCUACCUAUGAACUUCCUAUUUCCCAACACCUAGGAGGUAGUAACUUUUAUCUCCACCGUCAGAUUAAACCAAAUGAACGAUACAUAUUGAUUGGAGGUACAGUAAAAAAAUUCAGGCCAUCGGAGGGGCGCGGCGAUGAGGUAGUGCUGGUUUGAGGUAGGGCAAGUCCUCCACGUGGGUGUCAUGGAGCAAGUCCUGCCCCGCCACCAUCAGCAGCAUCGGCGGCAUCUGCAGGUGUGCAACUGCCUCCGCUGCCAGCAACGGCGACGUGUACGGGCUAUCCUUGUUCGCCUCGAUCCACCGGCAACCCGAGCGCCAGCAACUUGUCGACCAUCUCCUCCGUCAGGAACAUGCCGGGGGGUUUCUCGAGCUCCGAUCGGCUCUUCUCCUCCUUGACAAAGCCCGGAUGGAGAAGAAUCCCGCCGGCGAGCUUCACCUGGUGGAGAUCAGAGGGAAUGUCACCUUUGGCCGCGCGCGUGCCGCCACAAGGUGCACAAGCUAGGUUGCCGCCGGCGCUGUCGCCAAUGAGGAACACACGUGAGAAGUCAGCCCCUCAUCGCGCAGGCGUGUUCCACCGUUGGUACGUUCAGCAUGGUCAUUGUUGUUUGUAACGUCCUUGCCACAAGCGACGUCCUGCAGCCAGAGAAGUACUGCGGCAUGACCAGAUAGCGUCAAUGGCCGCGGGCAGGCGGUGCUCGGGUGCAAGUGGGAGGAAUACGGAGACGACGCCGGCGAUGUCGAGCUUUGCGGCGAGAUGGGCAUAAUUAAAACUCAUGGUAGAGUGCCCAUGAGGGCAUUUCUGCUGUUGUUGCUAACUUACUAACACGGUGGCACCAGGGGGAAGACCUCAGCUAUUUAAAGCCCACAGAGCUGUAACGUUGGAAGUGUUCGUUUUAUUGUUCGAAACUAUAGCGUUGGAAGUUACAUAGAGAUCGUAUUAAUGAUCAGAUAACAUGCCAAUGCACAAAGUCCAUGAUUAAACAACGGGAUGUAAUAAUCGAAGCAAGUGUUUUCUUACAUGUAAAUCCAAAUUCCAUGGAAAAACUUAGGCAUUACACGAUAAAUAAUUACUACUUAGGUGCUUAAGUCAACCUUCGGAACUUAAUUAGUACGUGCAGUUGCAGUCCGGUGCCAUUAGUUUUCAAUUUAUUCGAAUCAAAACUGAACCUGGGUCGUUAUUAUCCCUCGAUCUGAACUGGUGAGAGACGUGCUGAAAUUAAGUCCAAAAAUUCAAGAGAACUGGCAUGGAAAAAUACAGGAUUGAAGACAAUUAAUAUAGGGGAUCAUAUUUUUCUAGAGAUCUAUACAGAUCUCUGGAAAAAAGAAUCGAUAGAGCAGAGACGCCAGACGCGUGCAAUGCAUGUGAAACUUAUAUAGCAUCCUAUCAUGAGCAUACAACGUUGUUCUGCCAUUAGUCAAAUAUACUUGCUCUACUCUUCGACGUCUUCGCGUUUUCUGUCUCUUUUCGAGAUCAGCAAAAUAUAUCCAUGCCACUUUAUAAACAUGACCCAAUCAGUAAUUAAUGUCAUUGUAAAUCAAUUUAGAGCUACCACUGGCGUCAGUUAGCAUACGUCAUUGCAUACACACACGUAAUUUCAUAUAUGGCUAGGACUAGACAGACCUAUGAAUCUAUCGAGCUCAUUGCAGUACUUCGAUAGAAAUUUUGUUCUCGCUGUGCCCACUGCACGAGAGACCAGGAUGUGCAAAUGACCAUUUAUUUUAUAGGGGCAUGAUUGGCAUUCGGUUGUAAACAAUGCAUGCCCAUGACUAGUCGAUCUUGUGGCACCCACAAGCCAACAAUUCAAUUGCAUAUGCUAGCAAAGCCUUCAACGUUGUGGACCGACGUGAGCUAGAACUUAGCAGCAACAGUAUGCUAAUUGAUUGCCGGCUUUCUGGAGCAUCAUUAGGAGCAAUUCCACCUAAACCGGAGCACAAUUAUCUUGUCAUCCAUGCAUGUAUGAUGAGAAUGAUGAAUCCACAUUCGAGUUGAAGCGGAGGAGAUGACGGCGGGCAACGGCAUCCGUGCACAAUAGGAGUAGCCACUAUGCGGUCAUUGGGGUCUAUAUAUAGAUUGCCAUAUGGCCCAAGGCCCGAUGGCCCAGCCCAUAGCACGGCCAUCUGGGCUGGGCUGAGCACGGCCUAGUCCGACUGUUGGGUCGUACCUGGGGCAAUGCCUUGUAACGUGGGUCAGCCCGAUAGAUAAAAAAAAUACUAAAGAACAUAAAAUAGACUUAAUUUAGUUAUAUAAAGCUUAGCCCAAAAUGAGAGGUACAGACUUAUUCGCGCAACCCUAAGAGGUAAGGGAGAAAAUCUAAACUUGCUUAUGCUUCGGCCUAUCGUGUUGUCGGGCUGGCCCAACAUGACCCGAGGCUUAUUGGGCCAUGCCUGGGCGGUCGGUGCAUCCCGUGGGCCGGCACCGCAUUGCCCGGUGUGGUUAUUGGGCCGUGCCGGCCCGGCAGGAGUAGGCACAAGCAUGGUCGUGCUUGGGCCAUGUCGGGCUGGGCAGGCCUGAUGUCCAUCUAUAUCGGCCUCGCAUGAGAAGGAGUGGAAGAGACACUGACCAAUGACAUCUGGCUCGAGAGUGAGUGAAGAAUAAAGGAUUGACAUGAAUUAUGGAAUUACCUUUCCACCUUCAGAAUCUGAAAUCGAUACCUAGUCUUGCGAGCAUAAGGUAUCAGGAGGUACCAACUUUUUCCAGUUAUUAUAUCACACGUAGUGGACAGCUGAGAUAUGAUAUCCCCUUAGAUUAUAAAAGAGAGCCCAUUAUAAAAUGUCUUUACUACAAACUAUAUUUAGAAGGUCAUAUCAUUGAUGAACCUACAUAAACAAGAUAUUUUACCAUCCUUAAAAGAAUUCCCAGAUUUAUCAAUCUUUUAUUGUAAAAUCUUAGUACCUUGAGAAUAUAUAGCACCUAAAUGUACCCUUUUGUGUUAAUAAUAUGGUAUCUUAAGGAAUAUCAUCUCAAAACGAGUAAUCAUUUUAAGAUACCAUUCAGGGUAUAGGAGCUGAAUUCCGCUUCAUAAUAAAAAAUCACUUCUUCUUUAGUUAAAAAAAACUCCAUUGUUAAUUAAGCAAUCCUAUUCUUGGCAAACAAAACGUGUGUAAAUAUUGAUUCAUAUACCAUACAUAUACUCAAUUUUAUUUACGCAGGAAUAGGGAACUAGCUAGUACGAAACAUUCACCAAACCGACCAAAUAAGGCACAAAUAACAUACACACAGAACUGAAAUUCGAAAAAUAUACAAACAUAUCAAACGGCGAAUGCUUGGCUAAAUGCCAUUUGGACAGGCACGCACGUACGAAUUACAGUAUCACACGAUACAUGCAAGGCAUGCACGAUGCCUUGCAAAUCACGUAGUAGAAGGGAGGAUGAUCAGUGCCUGUUAAUGAAUGCCUUGAUGGUGCCAAUGAGCUCACUGGUCCGCUCCGCCGUGAGUUGAUCGGACUCCACCGCGAAGAAGUUGAGGUAGAAGAUGUGCGCCACCGCGCCUCGGCUCACCACCGUCUCCACCACCUUCCCGGCGUGCACCAUGGCCUCGCCGUACUCCACCUGGGGGUCAUGCAGCAAGUCCUGCUCCGCCACCAUCAGCAGCAUCGGCGGCAUCUGCAGGUGCGCCACCGCCUCCGCCGCAAGCAACGGCGAGGUGUACGGGCUGUCCUUGUUCAUCCCCACCGGCACCGCGAGCAACAGUAACUUGUCCACCAUCUCCUCCGUCAGGAACAAGUUCGGCGGCUUCUCGAGCUCCGACCGGCUCUUCUUCUCCCGAGCGAAGCCCGGACUGAGAAGCACCCCACCAGCGAGCCUCACCGGGUGGAGAGGCGGCGCCCCGGCGGCGUCCUUCGCUGCGCGUGCUGCCACGAGGUGCACGAGGUUGCCGCCGGAGCUGUCGCCGAUGAGGAACACGCGCGAGAAGUCGGCGUCGUCACGGAGGCGUUCCACCGCCGGGUCAAGGUGCGCACCAUCGUUUCCACCUUUGUUGCAUGCGACGUCGCGGAGCCAGAGGAGCGCAGCAUGGCCGGCGUCGAUGGCAGCAGGGAGGCGGGGCGCGGGGGCAAGGGGGGGGGGGGGGGGGGGGGCACGUCGAGCUUACCAACGAGAGGGGCAUAGAAGUUGUGGUAGAGCGCCCACGAUGGACGAGAGACACAGAACCCACCGCCAUGGAAGUGUACGAGGAGAGGGCGCCGUCGCCGGGGCACCGCUGCCGGCUCCCGGAGGUAGAGGCGGACGUCUACACCGCUGGCCGUGGUAACGUCGUGCACGGUGACGCCGUUGCGUGGCUCGGCGUAGGGCUGGACGAUGGCAGUGAAGGGCUCGGCACCCGGCGGUGUCAGCCGCUGGACGGUGCCGUCGGAGUAGAGGCGGAGCCAGCCGGUGACCUCCUCGACGACCGUCUUGUUAGGAUCGGUCCCGGCGGAGGUUGUCGAGGCCAUUUCAGCUAUAGUUGAUAGCACCACAGCGAAGGCCAGACCCCAUCUUAUUGAGCCCAUUGUGAUGUCGUUGGAAGUUGGAACAAUCAAAGAUACAGAUCUAGGAUUAAUAAUAAUGAUCGAUCAUAUAUAUAGCAUGCAAGCGCACGAAGUCCAUGCAUGAACCAAAUAAUUAAUAAUGGUACAGGAUCACGGCAUGAUUUUUCUGACUAACAAAUUCCAAUUUUAAUGUUAAAGCUUAUAUUAUCCAACUAAUUAAGCUGUUCAAGGAGUCAAGGUCAACUUCCAGGACAAUUAGCACGUACAGCGUCAUUACUCAUUAGUUAUUACUUGCGAGUUAGCGUGCAGAAAUGCAGAACAACUUGCCCAAAUUGGUAAUGUUUAAAAAGACGUCCGUGAGAAGUUAUACAUAGGUAUUUUUUAAUGUUAUCUAUGAUAUGUCCAAUCGAUAAAGAUGAGAUACAUCCUAACAUAACAUAUAAUUCUAUUGAGAUUGAGCCAAAUACUCCGUUCGUUUCCUACUAUAUAAGUUGUUUUGCUUUUUUAAAGUCAAACUUCUUAAAGUUUAACUAAAUUAUAGAAAAAUAUGGUAAUAUUUACAACAGUAAAAUUUUUAACAUUGAAUAUAUUGUGAACUUAUAUUUUUUAUUUUGAAAAUACUGCUUUAUUUUCUAUAAUAAUAUUCAAACUUAAAAAAUUUUAAGUUUGAAAAAAAUCAAAGUAUCUUUCGAUUAUUAUAUAUUUGACUCUCCUCUCUAUUUUUUCUCUCUUUUCUACAUCAGCAACAUUUAGAAAUGACAAUGAAGAUGUAUCGUUAAGUUUAGCCAUCUAUACCCACCAGCGAAGUCAAGGAAAACAGAAUGUCCUUGUUCCCAUAGCCGGUAGGCGCGGACAUUUGAUCUAUUCAGUUAAUUCAAUUUGGUCUUUCGGUCUCUAAGGAAAUUCAAUUAUCAAAAACUCAAGACUGAAUUGUAUUGUAAAAAACUCAAGACCGAGCAACGGUCAGUUAGGUUUGGUCUUCGAUAAUGACCAAAAUAUGUGACGCUUUGAGGAGAUCAAAAAUCAAGCAAAUUACAAUAAAAUUUUGAUGACACUUGCCCUCUUUUAUGACAUGAUUUUUUAAAUUAAAUAGCAAAAAAGAUAACGAUAACCAAUAUAUAGUGCAAUAAUUUACCAGGAUGCCAUUGAUCACAUGGCUCUUACUUCCAAUUUAUGCACCUAAUCACCAAGAUUUACAUAGCUAUUUGUCAUUCUCCCUAGUUACAGUUAAUUAAGGAUGAUUCGAAUUAACCCGAGUAAUUUUGGUUAGUGGAAAAUACAAACUAACUUUCUAACCAAAACUUUCAAUCUCGGUCAUUUCGGUUUCGGUCAUAAAUAGUUCAGUUCAGUUUUUGGUCUCAUUUAUUUUUGUCCACCCAUAAUAGUGGGUAUAGGACACCCUUUUGGGUCUACACAAUCAACUUUGCUGCAUUUGAAGUUAGCGAAAUAACAUGAUGCUAUUUAGAGUCAACAACAACGUGAUUAUGUAACUACCAGACAUGAAAUUGGUAACACAACACGGAAAAUAAGAGGGGACGACGGUAUUUGCGGGUGGCCGACAAAGUACAACACAUAGGAGGAGGAUCUAUGAGACUAUGAAGGAUGGGAGGAAGUUCGCUUAUGUUAGUCAGCAUGCGUUAAGGUUAUGUCAAGAAGCAGAUAUGUAUCACUGGAGGACCGAAACCCACAAGGGGCCUCGAGACUGAACGGGCAUGGCCUAACGUCGGCUGACCUGACUUGACUGCAACGUGCCCAGAGCAGCCGCGCCAUCGGGGGCUAAUUAGACUUUUCGGUCCUCAGCGCACACAUAAUAUCUGGGCCGGCCCAAAUACGAGCUGCUUUAGUAAUUUGGUGGAGUAAAAAUUUGCAGCGUCGCCGUGACCGUGUGAAUAACCGAGAUCCGCAGACUUCGCCCCGACGAUUUGUGCUAGCCGCUAGGACAAAUACAAUAUUGCAUCAAUCAGACAAUCACUAACGCUAAUCCAUUUCCCAAAGCUUCUAAUGCCAGAUUAGAACAAAAUCCUGUAGUAACCCCCAUACUGUGUGAGUGCUAAUGGAAUAAACUACGGAUGCACUAGGAUUACUUCAUUAAUCACGCUUCGAAUGAAGCAAAGAAAAUUGGAGACAGAGAGCAAAAAAAUUGUGUACAAAGUACAGUGGCAUGUGAGGCUGCGUACGUGCAUGUGUCACCGAGCGUGCGCAGCGAGGGGCAUGGCCUCCGCGAGCGGCGUGGCCAUCGGCGACGGCAGCGGCGAGUCGCGGCACACCGGGCAGGUGGCGCUCACGCGCAGCCACCGCUNNNNNNNNNNNNNNNNNNNNNNNNNNNNNNNNNNNNNNNNNNNNNNNNNNNNNNNNNNNNNNNNNNNNNNNNNNNNNNNNNNNNNNNNNNNNNNNNNNNNNNNNNNNNNNNNNNNNNNNNNNNNNNNNNNNNNNNNNNNNNNNNNNNNNNNNNNNNNNGGGGGGGGGGCCGACGGGGCGGCGCCGUCUUCGUUGACGAGGACCAGCACGGCGGCUGCGCCGGCCUUGGCGCGGACGCAGAUGUAGGAGGCGAGCAUGACGGUGGAGACGAAGACGAGGACGCCGACGGAGAUGCCGAUGCCGUAGCCGAGGCACACCGCGCCGCCGACGUCCGCUGCACCGGGCGGCGGCAACGAGGCGCCUGGAGAAGACGCGGGCGCGAACGAGACGGACGCGCGCAUUUCAGCGCGAGCAGCAAACGGGAGACCGCCGGAAUGUGGGGCUUGCAUUGCAGCUUGCAGCAGCUGGUCGGUGGCACCAACGAGCUGCGAUGCGAGAGAAUGCCGUGAUGAGAUUAAAGACGGAGCUGGUAGUAAAUGGAGGACGCGCGGAGGGAAGCUGAUCUGAGUAAAUUUUCUGAAUUUGGAUGGCGAGAGUGCGUACGUGCAGUGGCCGUGUCCGUGUGAGUAAACUACUGAAGGUGAACUAGUAAUUACAGGGUUACAGCAGUAAACAGUUGGGUACUCAUUCUUGCUCAAACGCUCACCGUGCAAUCACGUGGGAAAGUCGUAUCCAGCGUUCAUCAUGAUUUAUGAAGCGCACAACUACACGAGUAGGAGAGGACCACAUCGCAAAUUGCAAGCUUAUAAUUGUAAAUGAAUGUGAGCACAAGUACUCACUCGCUGGAUGAUAGUCGAGACGGUACGUUGUUGGCAUCACUGGAAGCCACAGAGAAGUAGACAACAUGUCUAACUCGAAUCAGUUUUAUGGGACCAUGGCCACAGCCUCCAGUCCCCACAGUCUCCCGCGUGCUGUUUUUCUCCUAGAAAAAUGAUAGCUUCAGAACGAUCGCAAUCGCCAUCAACGAGUGAUUAUCCCAUUGAAAAUGUGCAUAAAAUGGUUAAGAAUUGUACUUGAAUCGAAUUGAACUGCCAAUGAUAAAUAACAACUGGAGAAAAAAUUGUGUCAUCCAAAUAUCCCAUCAGUUGUUGUUCAACGAACAAUCCCACGAUGGCGCCAUGUUACUUGACAUAGCAUCAAUCUACACCCACCAAAAUACCUAAUGGCAGGAAUCUCGCUGAACUGUGGGGCCACGUCCACCUGCAUUGUCAGCACUCGACGCCGGCGCACGCGGCCCGCCGGAACGCAGGUGGCAGGUCAGGCGCGCGGCUCCACUUGCCGCCGGCGAUGUCGUACACCAGCACCAUCCCUUCCAACGCGCCGCCGCCGCCCCCGUUCACAUNNNNNNNNNNNNNNNNNNNNNNNNNNNNNNNNNNNNNNNNNNNNNNNNNNNNNNNNNNNNNNNNNNNNNNNNNNNNNNNNNNNNNNNNNNNNNNNNNNNNNNNNNNNNNNNNNNNNNNNNNNNNNNNNNNNNNNNNNNNNNNNNNNNNNNNNNNNNNNNNNNNNNNNNNNNNNNNNNNNNNNNNNNNNNNNNNNNNNNNNNNNNNNNNNNNNNNNNNNNNNNNNNNNNNNNNNNNNNNNNNNNNNNNNNNNNNNNNNNNNNNNNNNNNNNNNNNNNNNNNNNNNNNNNNNNNNNNNNNNNNNNNNNNNNNNNNNNNNNNNNNNNNNNNNNNNNNNNNNNNNNNNNNNNNNNNNNNNNNNNNNNNNNNNNNNNNNNNNNNNNNNNNNNNNNNNNNNNNNNNNNNNNNNNNNNNNNNNNNNNNNNNNNNNNNNNNNNNNNNNNNNNNNNNNNNNNNNNNNNNNNNNNNNNNNNNNNNNNNNNNNNNNNNNNNNNNNNNNNNNNNNNNNNNNNNNNNNNNNNNNNNNNNNNNNNNNNNNNNNNNNNNNNNNNNNNNNNNNNNGCAGGGGCCGCGCCGGUGAGCGCGUCGACGCGUAGCGUGGCACCACGGCCGAUGAGGAAGACCUCGCGGCCCAGCACGACCGCGCGGGCGUGCGCGAACACGGAGCCACCACAAUGCAGCAGGGUCGGGGGCAGGGGCAGCGCCGCGACCUCGAGCACGGGAGCGAAGGCGUCGAACUGGAGCAGCGCUUGCGCGAUGAAACCACUGUCGGAGACGGAGAGGGCGAGGAGAGAGGGGUGGAGCUGGGCGUGGGCGCGGCGGCGGUGGCGGAAGGCAUCGGAGGCGAGGAGCGUCGGGCAGCGGCGCCAGCCGGCUGGACGCCGCGGGAUGGAUGCGCGGGGGACGCGGGCGAGGCACUCGAGGAGGAGGUCGUCGGGGAGGGCGGAGAUGGGGGACGCCGACGAGGGAGGAGGUGGUUGGAGGGUGGUGGGGCAAAGUGCCGGAUGAGCCGGAAUGGGGACUGGGACGGGGACGGCGAUGUGGCGGGCGGGGUCGGCGGGGAUGCAAGAUUUGACGAGCCACGAGAGGCUGCGGGAGUGGCAGCUCUCGGCGGCCGGCAUGGCGGAUUGGAUUCGGAGCUCAGGCGGCGACGGCGAGCUGCUCCGGGGACGGGGAGCAGCGAGGUGGGUGAUGAUUGGGCAUGGGGAAUCGUGGGAGUGGAGUGGAGCAGAUGGUAUGCAUACGGUCGACCUAUACUCACGUCCUAAAAACUGUUUUCUUAGGAGUGCAUUAGAGGGAAAGUCGUUGUGCGGAUGGGCUCGUGCCCCCACCUUGUGCGGGCCGUAGCAAAGCUUGCAAUCGCGACGCUGGUUGAACCGUAGCUUUCAUUUGAAAUUUGAAGGUUUGGGUUUAAAAUUCGAGUAUUUUAAAUUUGUCCUGUUAUUCCGCUUGUGUCGCUCGAACUUAAGCCUUUGUAUAGAGUAUAGACGAGUUUUAGAGCAUGAGCAAUAGAUGCCUAAAAAUUUAUCUCCAAAAUUCAGUUUUAGGAUUUCCAAUCAUGUUGUAAGGUAUGAAUAUAUUGCUUUCUCCAGUAAAAAUCUAAAAGUUAACUCCUAGAGAUUUGAUCCCGUCCAACAAAAGGUACAUCGAGAUACGGUACCUCAAAGUAUUAAAUUGUUUUUCAUCAUUGGAUUUAGCUAAGUAGGAUGUGCACUGUUAGAUCCAACGAUCAGAAACGAUUUGGUACCAUGAGGUACCGAUACCUCGAGAUACUUUUUGUUAGACUGAAACAAAACUCUAACUUCUAUAGUAAUAAAAAGCGGAUACACUCUCUUUCUAAAAAAGUGGAUACGCUCUUAAAAAAGACAAAGAUCACUCUUGCCUCCACAUGCCUUCACAUGCGUGAAUCGUAUAAUACUUCACCGACCCGGAGAGCUAGAAGGACAGAAAAAUAUGUUCUGAUUGUUAGAGCCAAUUUUUCAUUAACAUACUCAAAAGUGUGUUACUAAAAACAUAUUAGGUAUCUAUUGGUUGGUCAGUUGAUUUUAUCUGAAAAUAAAAUCCAUAAUAGAUUAUAAUUUUGCUUACAAUUGAUUAUAAUCCAUAACGUCUUAUCAAUGAUUAAAAAAUAUACAAUAAAACUUAUAUAUGUGUGCGUGUGCCCGCGUACGGCAUCAACGAUAUAAAAUCAAAUAAUAGAAAAUAAGAUAAGAUUAAAAAAAAACCCCAAAAUUGACUUUCAAAUCGUUUUGCGAUAGCUUAUAGCCUGAUAAUUAGACUAAGUUAGUACUAGGAGAUCAUAAGUUUCCAACUUUGAAUUGCUUAGCUUGACCAACCCAGGAGUUGUUUUGUUGGUAGCUACACAUUGCCAUGCUGAUAAUGCAAGUUUGAUCAAUUUAGCAGCUGUUUGUUUAUAACCACAGUUGCAGUGGAAUUCCAUUCCAUAAAUUAGGGCUCAUGUGUCAACGAGAAAAAAAAUCGUGUUUUACAAAUGUUGAUAAAAAUCUAGCUACCAAACUAUGAACAGCCCAAACCUUUUCAUACAGGUGGAGCAAUUUGACUACACAAAGAACGGUUCACCAUCUAGCACAGGCUAGCUUCCAGUGUGUGUCAUGCGACUCAUGCAGCAAUUUGCACUCCAUUGCUUUCCAUGUCUUAAAGUUGGACUAGUAAAUCUCUCUUCUUUAUUUACAAAAGAAAAAUUAGUGCUUUAUGAAAAGGAAAUGGACAUAGAGCGCACCGGCAUGGGUAAAGUACAUUGUCGUAAUAGGAUGGUGGCUAAUCCAGUAGAUGGAUGCAAAUCACCAAAGUCAGACCAGAUUGGUAGUCAAUUGUUCCAAGGAAAAAAAAUAUGACCAUUAUUAUGGUUAACACGAGUGCAAAGAAUAGAAGAAUGUAAGAGCAAGUGGGCAGUGGCAUCACAAAGCAUCACAUGUGUGGUUUCCUGGAAGCUGCAAACUACAUGCAAACUAGCUCCAGUCUCCUUGAGAAGUUCAGAUGCAUAUAUUCCCCUUUCUGUAGCAGCCUUGAAGGUUGUAGAUGCCACCAACCACAACCAUGAGCGAUCGAACGAUGCAUACGGUUCCUCCUCCUCCUGCUGCCUCCUCAUCGCACGGUGAGGACUUCGCGGAGGUUGUGGGGGUGCGCCAUGGGGAGACCGCCGGCAACGCCUUACGCAUCAUUCAGGUCUUUGGUCUUGUCUCCCUGAAUCCCUUUGUUCCUGUGAUCCUGUCACCGGCUUAGUCCUUUUCAUUUUUCUUCAGAAUGAUACUUGUUGGUUUACAGCCAAUGCUCUUCUCGUCGUCUUUCCAUCAAUUUUCUCAAGUUUGACAUUUGACAGAGCAUCCAGAUCAUUUUCACAGGGCCAUAUGGAUAUAGAGCUAAAUGAAACUGGCAAACAACAAGCUGUUAUGGUAAGCUAUACCGAUACAUUUCAAAUAAUGAAUAGAAUUAUGAUUUUGGUUUAGUCUGAACUUGGAGUUGCAUCAUAUGAAUAUCUGAAACUUGGCUUGGUUGUAACUUGGAAGGUUGCUCGUCGGUUGGCUAACGAAGCUAAGCCAGCUGCUGUGUACUCCUCUGAUUUGAAGCGUGCUGCCGACACUGCGCAAACUAUAGCUACUGCUUGCAAUGUGUCCUAUGUACGUACAUACAUACUCCACUAUUCUAUUCUGCAAUGAGUGCCAUUUCCAGUAGUAAACUUGCUAAGCUUCUCAUCAUUUCGUUUGCUUCAGCUGGUGCUGAAUCCAGCACUAAGAGAAAGGCACAUGGGAGAUCUCCAUGGCCUGAAGUUUGACGAUGCCGUCAGAAGCAAGCCUGACGCUUACAAGGCUUUCACAUCUGAAGACAGAAGCCAAGAAAUCCCUGUGACCUUUUCAUCCUUAAUUUUCUCAACAACUUCUUAUCCUUGAUAAAAUACUCUGUAGCAGAUAUUUUUGAACACUUCUCUGUUUUGGCAGGGUGGUGGGGAGAGCCUUGAUCAACUGUCUGACCGCUGUGUUUCGUACUUGAACACGAUAGCUAGCAAGCACAAGGGUAGGCAAUAAUUCUCACUCGGGUUUUAGUAUGGUUGACACACAGUGAAUUUUUCUUAGUGAAUUAGCUGCUUGAAAUAUAGCAGUUGAAAGAUAAAAAAUGUUCAGAAUGCACCUGCAUAUUCUUAUCAUGGUUAGCAAGUCAUUCAACCAGUUGCCCAUGAAACACAUCUAGAUUAAAAUUUCCGCGUAUGUCAGGGGAGAGAGUGAUUGUGGUUACCCAUGGCGCAAGCAUUGAGGAACUCUGCAGGCAUGCCGAUCCAACUAGCUCAGUUCCUAGGAGAAUCCCCAACACUUCGAUCUGUGUAUUCCACAUUUCUGGCACCACUGGUCAUUGGAUCCUAGAGAGGUUUGGAGACGUCGCCCAUCUUAUGGAAGUCAGCUUCCCGAAGACUGCAUUUGGCGGCGAUGGCGCAUCUGCGUAAUGCCUCCAACCAUCCGAGUAAUCGGUUGGUCUUGUUAGACAUGAGAAAAAAACUAUCCGUUUAUGGUUCUCCAUUCUCGGCUUGUCACGUUACAUCUGUGUUCUUUUUCUCCAGUAUUCUUAGUAUUUGGUAAAUUUUUUGAACUGCUAGACAAUAUAUUUUUAUAAAAUAUUUCUACAUUUAAUAUUAUAGUAGUUAAUUCUAUCAUUUACACUAUUAAAUAGCUACAUAUAAAUUAGAUAAUCUUUUAUACGUUUAUGGGUUAGGGCUGCAAAGUCUGCAGCAGUUUCUUUUUAGAAAAAAAUGGUAUAAUCACUUUUAAAGUAGCUUUAAAUGGGCAAAAAGCGUACUGUAAACAGGAAUGACAUGCUGAAAGCAAAGACAACAGGACCACUACCUGGUGUGCCAACUCCAAUUGUGUCCCCAAGUGAAAUCUCCGAGCAACCCAUAUCAUAGAGCUCCUUGGCUACAUAUGCUACCUUUGAUGGAUGAAUUGCACCUUUAACAGGGCAGCCAACCACACAUGAAACAUACCUGUGACAAUCAAGGUUUGAAAAUUUUCAGAUUAGAUUGCUGCCAAAUGGUUUUAACCUGUUUGUUAAAUUGCAGGCUUAACAGAUCAUCAAACUUAUGUUACUUACCCACGGAGACGUAUUCCAUGUUUCUUGGCAGAAGUUAUAACAUCACGGUACCGAACAAGGCUUUCCUUGAUGGUACAAUUAAGGUUUGACUUAGAAAAGGAUUCAGAGGCAGAUGCGAAAACUGCAACUUCUUUUGCACCAGCUGCAACAGCAGCCUCAAAUCCCUAGAAAAGAGGAAAUAAAGUUGAUCCUUCACAAUAGAUCAUAGCGCUCCAUAAAGCAAUAUGUAUGAUCUAUUGAUGCUAUAGUGCUAUAUUGUGUAGUCUUUCUAAAGAUAGAACAGAAAUGGACAUACUCUGAGGUUAGGAGUUAACACUGGGAACCGCACAUCUGGCACAUGCCUAAUCCCUUCAACUACAUCCUUUGCAUCUGCUAGCUGCAGCGCCAAAUUGAGUGAUAAAAGUUAGCUAUUUGAACUUGAACUUAUACCAAUUUUAUCAUGUUUUUGUUCUGUAAUGAAUUAGGCUGUGCAAUUUUGCAAACGAAUGCCAUACCACAAAUUGAUAGCAAAAGAAGUUAAAUGGAACUAUCAGUAACAACCUCUGAUGAGCAAGUAAGUGUGUCAGAUAUGCAUAGCAUGCUACAAACUGAGAAAGGUGGAUUUUUAAUCAAGAAUUAUCCGUGAUUUAAAUUAAUGUAUGAUACGACAUGUUUUCACUAACUCUAAGUAAUUACCUGCGGCACCCAUUUUGGGGAAACAAAACUUGUGGCUUCAACUACUGAUAGCCCAGAAGCCACCAAUUUGUGUAUCAGUUCAAUCUUUACCGAUGUUGGUACAGUAUUCUUCUCAUUUUGCAGACCAUCCCGUGGUCCAACUUCAACUAUCUUCACAAACCUUGGGAGGUCCCAUAAAACCUGAAAACCAAUUAUCAUCAGGUGAGAAAAAUGAAAUAAUUGGUGCUGUUUUACUAGCACCACCCUUCUUUAGCCACCAUUUUGACUUAUUUAUAGUCACGAAUCAUGAAGGUAAAUAGAAACUGUGACAUACUGAAUGGCCACAGACAUAAUGCUAAGUUCGUUCCUUCUAUUUGAGGUGGUCUAAUGAAACCUACAACAGGUAAAUGAAAUUUGAACGCAUGAACCAUUCAAUAACAAAUGAUCAAACUACCUUCCGGGGAAGAGCUCUGAACUCCAUAUCCACUCCAUUGCAGGAUGAAUCGGUAUAUCGACCUUGCAUAUGCCAUGAAUGGGCACUGCUGUGAAAGAUCGUCUGAUUGUUGCCACCAUUGCGUUGCUUGUAACUGAAAGUAAGCCCACAUAGUCAUAUGUUGCAUGUCUCAGUGCAUCCUUUGGCAAUAAAAUUCUACUGGCGAUAAAGUAAAACAGGUUUCCUUUAGAAGAAAAAUAAUAGGUGUCACUGAAUUGUGAUAAGUGGAAAUGUACAUGAUUCCUUGUACCCCUUGAAAUACUGGAAAAACAUUAUGUAUGGAGGUAUUAGUAUCCGACAAAAUGACAAACACUUGGAAAGAAAGAUCUUCCGUUGGCCCGGAGAGAAGCAAAUACUAGGAAAGAAAGAAUGUAUCCUUGUAUGGUUUGAGAAGAGUAAAACUUACUUGCUAGGGCUGCAAUCAUCAGCGCUUGCUCUGCAGGCACUUGGAGAGAACCUUUCAAGUCUGUUAAUACUCAACUUUGGCAGGUCCCCAAGACCAAGUGGCUCCUCAAGGCUCGACAUUCUGCGAUGCAGGCGUUAAUUACAAUGUUAACGAAAAUGUUCAGAUGAACCUUGAUAAACCAUGCUGAAUGAGAUAAGCUUCCGAAUAAUUUAAAUUAAAGGUGGAGGAGCAUAUUCAGAAACAGUGCACUAGUCCGCAUGGAAUGGAACGUUUGAAAUCCAAUCCAAUGGGACUCGCAAAACAUGUCCAUUCCUCCGGCUUGGUUGCAGUUUCUAGAUUGCAAUUUCAUGGGACUCGCAAAACAUGAAAUUUACUCAAUUGUUUCCAUAUCCUACCGGACUCACGGAUUUACAAUUGCAAUUUCUAGAUUGAAAACAAUUGAGUAAAUUUCAUACAACCAUAGGCGGCAAAAAAGAAAAAUUUUCUAUUACUGAAUCUUGGGGGAAAAUAUUUCUACCGUAUGAACCUUUUGACCACGCCACCAAUAUUGGCGUAACAAAACAAUGUUGCCACGUAGAGUUUUUUUGGUGUGGUAGGCUUGCCACACUACUGACUGGUGUGGCAAGACUGCCACGGCAACCAGGUUGUGUGACCGUUUACAUACUUUUUUAUAACCUAUUUUGGUAGGAUUUUGCUAAUUUAACAUAUGUUUUACCUAUUUUUUUAUAACUCAUAUUUCGUCGCCACUUUGAUGUUUUGACAUACCCAGUAGAAGCCAUUUUGAUGUUUUCGCAUACCAGUGAUAACAGUAAGAUCAAGCUUUUAUUGAAUAUGUCGUGCCCAUCGAGAUAAAGUGUUAUUUUAACGAAUCCCAUAAAUUACUCUCUCUAUUUUUUUCAUUUGAAAUCAUUGACUUUUGGAUUACGGUUAACUAUUCAUCUUAUUUUAAAAAUGCAUCGUUAUUAAUUAUUUUAUGGUGAUUUAAUUUAUUACUAAAGACACUUACAAUUUUACAUAUUUACAUAAAAAUUAAAUAAUAUAAAUAAUCAAAUGAAGAUUUACAAGUUAAAUACCUUCUUUAGCACAUCACUGGAAAAAAAUAAAAAAACCACGCAUGCAAAAAAAUUAAAUGAAAAAAAACACGCACGCAUCUCACACCCACCGCGCUCGCCCCAGUUGCUUCAUACCACACGCCCCGCUUACCCUCGCCGUUUGCCGGCAUCCCUGCCCACCCCCCCUCGCCGCCGCCACUCGCCCUAGCUGUGGACCCUUGCCGCCGCGGCUUCCCCGCUGCCUCGCACCCGCCGCUUGCCCCGUACCUGCCUCGCCCUCGCGUGGAUGGGAACGACAUCGCUGGUCUCGAAAGUCAGGCUGAGGCUGUGGCAGCUGCUCUGCGGGGCUAGCUGUAAUUCAUGGGUAUUUAGAUAUAUACUCAAGGUUUUUUUAAAAAAUACCUAUAUUAUAUAUACCAUGUAUACCUAAUAUGUAUUGAAUAAAACAAAAAGAAAACACAUUUCAGCACAAACAGACAAAAAAAAGUUUAUUGGGUCAUUUUUCUUAAUUUGGCCCAUUUCAUACCAACCAACUAAGGCCCACGGCCUAAUAAUGCUAACCCUAAUGAGAGGCUUGGGGCUGGGCCGGCUGCCUGUUGGUUGGGACUGGCUGGGGCAGGGGGCGGCGGCUACCGACAGGCGGACAGCGCGGGGGCGGUGGAGCGUGCAGGGAGGCAGGCGGAGGCGAGGAGCGGCCGAGUGGGACGCCGCGCCGUGCGACCGAGCGGAGCAGGAGAGCCUCAGCCGCCGAGGUCGGCGUCCUUCCGAGGGGCGAGGCGAGGCGGCGCCGGCGAGAGCCGCGAGGCUGCAGCGCAGGGCCGCAGGAGCUCUCCCAUCGCCACUGCAAAUCUGCAAUGCGCAAUCUAACACGGUAAUUAGCGUGCUCUGUGGCUCCAACUGCUGACCAAAAGGUUAAAUGCUGCUACUUGCUUUUUUCAGAAAAUCAUGGUUUUGUAGUUGGUUGUUAAGUGGCAAAUGUUAAUGCCUCAAUCUGAAACUUAUGUUUGAUGAUUGAUGCCUGCAUGGUUGAAAUAACAUUUGUACCGAAUUUUGUGUGACAUGGUUCGCUUGUUAGUUCCUAUAUAUCAAGGUCACAUUUAAAAAUGUUUAAUUAUUGCUAUGUCGAAAGUGCUAAGUAUAAGAUCUAAUUUCAGGCACCAGCAGCUGAUGAAGAAGAUAGGAGACUGAAGAGGAGAAGAAAGUAGCAGAACAACGUGCAGCAGCUGUCAAGACUUCCGGAAAGAAGAAAGAAUGUAUGUAUUUCAUCCAUUUGUAGGAUCCCUGCCUCAUUGUGACAUUUAGUUUAGGUAGUGACAAAAGGUUGAAGAUUACUAAAGAGAAGGGUUAAGGCCUCGUGCAGCUUUGCUUAUUAAUUCCAAGUUAAUUUUUGAAAAACUCAUAAAAUUGGUAGUACAAAUAAAAAAGUUUNNNNNNNNNNNNNNNNNNNNNNNNNNNNNNNNNNNNNNNNNNNNNNNNNNNNNNNNNNNNNNNNNNNNNNNNNNNNNNNNNNNNNNNNNNNNNNNNNNNNNNNNNNNNNNNNNNNNNNNNNNNNNNNNNNNNNNNNNNNNNNNNNNNNNNNNNNNNNNNNNNNNNNNNNNNNNNNNNNNNNNNNNNNNNNNNNNNNNNNNNNNNNNNNNNNNNNNNNNNNNNNNNNNNNNNNNNNNNNNNNNNNNNNNNNNNNNNNNNNNNNNNNNNNNNNNNNNNNNNNNNNNNNNNNNNNNNNNNNNNNNNNNNNNNNNNNNNNNNNNNNNNNNNNNNNNNNNNNNNNNNNNNNNNNNNNNNNNNNNNNNNNNNNNNNNNNNNNNNNNNNNNNNNNNNNNNNNNNNNNNNNNNNNNNNNNNNNNNNNNNNNNNNNNNNNNNNNNNNNNNNNNNNNNNNNNNNNNNNNNNNNNNNNNNNNNNNNNNNNNNNNNNNNNNNNNNNNNNNNNNNNNNNNNNNNNNNNNNNNNNNNNNNNNNNNNNNNNNNNNNNNNNNNNNNNNNNNNNNNNNNNNNNNNNNNNNNNNNNNNNNNNNNNNNNNNNNNNNNNNNNNNNNNNNNNNNNNNNNNNNNNNNNNNNNNNNNNNNNNNNNNNNNNNNNNNNNNNNNNNNNNNNNNNNNNNNNNNNNNNNNNNNNNNNNNNNNNNNNNNCUCCUCGUCCCCUACUUGUUCUCGCAAAAUCUCCAAUUUCUCUCUGUUUACUUCCAGGUGAUGAUCAUAAGAGGCAAGGAUAAGGGCGAGAGCGGGCUCAUCAAGCGGGUCAUCCGGUCGCAGAACCGUGUCAUCGUCGAGGGAAAGAAUUUGGUAAUGUAUUGCUAUACUGAUGCACUCUCCUCCAGUUAUUAUCAAACCCUACGUCGGUUUUGGGUUGAUUGGUCGAAUGAUUUGGUAGUUUUGUGCUAUCGAUUUAACUAUCCUAGAAAAAAAUCACUUAUUAUUUAGCCUGAUACGAAUUGAUACAUAUUUCCCCCUUUUCCAGAGUUCAUAUUAGUAUUAGGAGAUGCAAACUGCUGUAACAAAUGUAUACUCAACUAAUUUUCCAUUAGAGUUAUGUUUGUCAGAAUUAGAAAUUGUAAAUACACAUAAUAUAAUAUUAUUCCUCAGAGUAUACACCCAUUGUUGUAUAAGGACAGCAUAGACAUGAAGAUAGUUUGUACCUUGCAUGUCGUCAAAUCUAUGAGUGCUUGGUGGUGAUAUACUCAACAAUUUAGCUAUGUGUGAUUUUUUUAAAAAAAAAAUGGUAGCCGUAAAGCAGUUUGGCCUGUACGAGUAGGCAUGGAAUGAUCAGAAUUUGUAGAUGUUUACUGGAUCCUUUUGUUUUAUGUAUUGCAUACUGUUACAUGCUGUAGCUCUUUUGUAUCAUGUGUGUAUGUAUGAUUUCUAUGCCAUAACAAAUUAGUACCGAGUUAGUUCCUUCCAGUUGGAUAUUGAGGAAUUGAUUUUAGUGGAUGCCAAUUAAGAAUGGUGAAACUGUAAAAACCUUGUCCUUGUAAAGUCUUUUAUGUUAUUGUUACAUGUUACAUUUUUCUUGCUGGCUACUAGGCAGCUACAAUUAGUAACAAGUAACAACCCAUAACAUUUUCCUAGUCUUAUGUAUGUGAGUGUUCUUUGUUGUACAUAGGAAUUUUAUAGUAAUUGUGUGUUUAUGCCAUUUCAGGUUAAGAAGCAUAUUAAGCAAGGGGAAGGACAUACAGGUGGGAUUUUCUCAAUUGAAGCCCCACUUCAUGUUUCAAAUGUUCAAGUACAUGAUCCAGUCACUGGGUACGAUGCUUAAUUGUUCUUUCAUGAUAUCUAGACAUAUUUUUUUAUCUUCCAUUUCUACUGCAUCUUACUUAAAAAGGAGUAAAUUUAUCCGCACAAUGUUGGCUACAGGAAACCAUGUAAGAUUGGAUACAAGUAUUUGGAAGAUAGAACUAAAGUCAGGUUUGCUAGAGGAAUGAAUGCAUCUGGUGCUGUGAUACCCAGGCCAGAAAUUUUGAAGGAACGAAGAAAGCCAAGACCUACAUCACGUAUGUCUCCUAAGUGUCUGUCCCUUUAAAUAAAUACUAACAAAAGUGCUUAUAAUAACCUCAGGUACUGCGAAGUCAUGCAUAGUCACUACUAUAGAUUUUUCUUCUUACAAUAUUUUACUAGGAAUUACUUGUUGUGUAAUUGAAUGUAAUAGUAGUUAGUAAUAGUACAAUCUGAAAGAACUCUGAUCUUUUCACGGCAGUGUUACAAUUUGGUGUCAAAAUAUUAAAUAUGUUUGUUACAUAACUAUGGCCGCGUUCGUUUCAACCCGGAUAAGUUAACUUAUCCCGGUGUGGAAAACGUAACAAUAGAUUAGUACAUAAUUAAUUAAUUAUUAAUUAUUAAAAAAUAUAAAAUAGAUUAAUAUGAUUUUUUAAAACAACUUUCCUAUAGAAAUUUUUUGUAAAAAAUACCCCGUUUAGCAGUUUGGGAAACGUGAGCGCGGAAAACGAGAUACCUCCCUAGCUGAACUCGGCCUAUGUAUUUUUCUAUGAGAAAAUUGCGGUUCCACUGACAUUUGAGCAAAUGCAUUCUAUUCCUAUCAAUAUAUUGCCCUGCAUAUGCUGUAUAUUUGAUAUCUGACGAAACUAAUCUUCACAAUUUUGUUUUAUUCAUGCAGCUGGCCCGAAGGAUACACCAAUUGACCUUGUGCUGGAGAAAACCUAUGAUGCCAAGACUGGAAUUGGGAUGCCUGAUCUAUAAAGUUAGCAACGGGUUUUUUACGGAGGAAGAGUUCAGUGUAUGUGUUUGUGACCACUUUUGCUAGUUAAGAUAGCAGUAAGUCUCUAUUGCUACCAACUCUGCAUCUGUACCAGUCUGCUUUCAAAAUAAUCCUGUACCGGUAAUUGUAACCUCUUGUUUCGGUGAGAACUUUUAGCCUACUGGAAAUGACUUCACAUUUGGGAAUGGUUCAAACCAUUAUUUCUGCAUAGAUACAUAUUCUGAAACCAACUUAAUUGCUGCCGUUCAAUGUGCUGCGCGUACGUGUAUCUUCUGUUCCGCGGGAGAGACGAAGGCGCGUAUCCGUUGCGCCGGAAACUUGUUUAAAUGCAGCGACAUUGCGAUGUAGGUAAUCAAACUCAGACGUACAAGCAGAUCGACACCGAUAAAGACUUGGAACCGGGUAAAAAAAACACAGCAGCAAAUCAGUGGCUAUCGACGAAGCUCUUGACGGCAUCGACGAGCUCCCGCGCCCGCGUCGCCGCGACGGGGUCGGACUCCACCGCGAACCAGUUGAGGUAGAAUAUGUGGCCGAUCCCGCGGCCGCGGCUGACCACCGUCUCCACCGCCUUCCCCGCGCGCGCCAUGGCCUCUCCGUACUCCACCUGCGGAUCACGCAGCAUGUCCUCCUCCGCGACCAUCAGCAGCAUCGGUGGCAGCCGCGCGCCCUCCGCCGCCCUUGCUGCCGCCGCCGGAGACGUGUACGGGUGGUCCCUGCCGGUGGUUCCUACCGGCAGCGCGAGCAUCACGAACUUGUCCACCGUCUCCUGCGUCAUGAGCGGGGUAGGCCGUAGGUGGGUUCUCCAGCUCCGACCGGCUCUUCUCCGGCCCGAUGAACCCCGGCCCCCGGGUGGAGGAGGACCCCGCCGGCGAGGAGUAACGUGUCGAGGGGCUCCGCCCCAGCCUCGCCGGCGCGUGCCGCCACGUUGUGCACGAGGACGCCGCCCGCGCUGUCGCCGAUGAGGAACACGCGGGAGAAGUCGGGAUUAGCAAAUGUUUAUUGUAGCCUAAUUUUUUAAGCCGAGGAGGAACACGCGAGACAAAUUUUUUAAGUCUAAUUAAGUCAUGAUUAACAAAUGUUUACUGUAGCAUCAUAUUCGCUAAUCAUGGACUAAUUAGGCUCAAUGUAUUCGUCUUAUGAAAUAGUCCAUAGUAUGAGAUGAGUUUUAUUAAUAGUCUAUAUUUUUAAAUAAUUAAGGAGUAAAAAAAAGACGAACAUGCCCAAGGUUAGAUAGUAGUAGGAAAUGGUGGCCUUGGCUAGAUCAAUAAGACGAACAUGCCUAAAGUUAGAUAUUAGUAGGAAAUGGUGGCCUUGGCUGGAUCGAUUGGGCAACUAAUGGAGAUUGGACAACACUAGCUGCACCCACCAAACUCUUCCAAUAAAUGGUGUCUGUCGGUCUGUUCUCUCAAAACUAUCUGGAAUAUAGGAUCACUAUUUUUUUUUUUGAAAACGAAGCCAGCGUGAGCUGGUGCUAUAUUAAGAAGAGAUUAGAACAAAAACUGUUAAACAAGAUUACAAAAGCCACGCAUGGCCUGCUCCCUAGGCACAAGAAGGUCUUGAAGUAGUGGAAACUAAACGAAAAUUCUCGCAAGGUUAGUUGCCCCGCAGGCCUUCCAUAGGCUGAUUUCAUCAAAAAUCUUGGCCACAAGCUGUUGUGCGGUCAUUUCUUUGGACUGGAAGAUUCUCCCGUUCCUCUCACCCCAAAUUUCCCAGGCUAUGAGAAUUAUCAUCGUUUUGAAUCCAUUUGCCCGGGUGCGGCCUCUGUGUGCAAUAUUUUUUCUCCCACCACUGCAGUAUGGAGUCAUUUUCAUCAUAGUCUUGAUCCACCCUGAUGUCUCCUGCCUUUUCUGCCACCUUCCUCCAUACUUGCGUUGUGAAAGGACAAUCUUUGUAUAGAUGUUUUGCUGUCUCUAUAUUAUGAAGACUAGAAAAUUUAUGGUCCAACAAGCAGUACCAGGUACCGGAGUAUCAUAGUCUGCACCGUCCGAUAAGUAUGAUCUAACGGCUGUGGGUGGGAGGUACCGGGAAACACAGUACGCUAUUCUUGUUGGUGCCGCACGCACCCAAGGGCAACGACGUAAUUUUAUGAUGCGGCCAAUGUUUCGACGGACUCACCCUAGCUUUGCAAAGUUCUUCCUGACCGCCGCCUACGGCAAGGGGCUGGACCACAUCGCGCCCAACGACAGCGUGCGGUGCGGGUGGCGGCGCCGGCUAGGGUGCGGAUCUGCAGUGCGGAGGCGUUCGGCUCGACGGCGCGACGCAUGUAGGCGGCACUCCGCGGCGGCGCGGUGCGCACAAGUGGCGAGCCGGCGAGGGGAGCGCAUAGGCGCUAGCGACGCAACAGCGACAGCAAGCACAAGUGCAUGCAGGCGCAGAGGGCAGCGACGGCAAGAGCAAAAGCAGAAAAAAGAGGACGAUUUUAGACCUCUGUUCAUGGGAUCUUUAAUAGUUAUGUAUUUGGUUAAGAACAUGUAUCAUGAACGUCGUUGUUGAUUUCUCGUGCAUGAGUUUGUGUUUGUUUCUAGAUCAAAUUUUAGCUAUUUGUAAGCGGCGAUGAAAUCAGCGAUGGUGACACCGACGGCGGCGAAUCCGGCGACGGCGUCACCAUCGAUGGUUGCGGCUGCUGCGACACCUGCUGUGACGGGUACUGCCAUGAUGGUUGCUGCGACGACUCCUGUGGCGAUGGCUGCUACGUCUGUGAUGACUGCGGCGACACCGGCGGCUUGCAAAAUGGAGAAGACGAUGUGUGUUUGUUUGCUGUGGAUAGCAUGCGACGAAGAUGUUGUGGUUGUUUGUUAUACUAGUCAAAACACAAAAAAAACCAAUCAUAACCCUGAAAAUGAACGGCUGGAUUAGUCUCGGUACCGGCAACUACCAUCUGUUGGACAGAAGUAAUGCUCGUCAAUGUAAUGUUGGACCGUAUUGGCUGGGGGUGUUCUACUGUGUUUGUCAUCUUUCUGGUUCUGGUCGUAGCUGAUGGUGGUUUGUGGCUCAGCAGCCUUCUCUAUUGCUAACUCCGAACUUUUCCCUCUUCUCCGAUAUAAUAUUCCAUUUCAGGAAAAACAUUUUUAGAAGCUGUUAAUUCUGAACAUUUCCGAAUUUUGCAGAUACUCUGUCCGAGUUGGGGAUUUUUUCUAGGUUCUACUUCUUUUGUCGACAUGCUGUUCCGUUUUUUUAGUUGGGAUGCUGUUCCGUUUUUGCAAAAUAUUUAGGAGUUGUCAUGAAUCUGAUGGCUGAACAAUAUUUUCUGCAAGCCAAAUCCAUGAUUUUUUUUGACUGUUCAAGUGCAACUACAAGAACACAUUUAUCUGACGGCAAAAGUACACUAGCAAUUUGGGUUUCAUUUUCAGACAUCUACACGUACAUAACACAGGACACCAACACCAUUAUUCAUAGGCAUGCAAGACCAAAUACUCACUUCACAUCACAUAAACCGCAAUAAAUCUCAUGCAAAUAAGAAGUCAAGAGCACCAAAAUGAUACGAUAAAUUGCCCUGACAAAAACAUCCAGAGCGAAGUCACGGAGCACGAUUAACUAACACGAAGAGAAGCAAGUAAGCAACAGCUUCGCUGAACCAACUGAGCUCAAUUUCAGCUCCACACAAACGCUACGACGCCGAGAACCGCGGCAGCAACGGCAAGAGAUAAGAUCUCGCCGGCGGCCAUGGGACCCGUCGCUGCCCCGGCGUUGGUGGACGAGCCACCGUACUGGGCGGUGGCAGCCUCGAAAUGCCUGAUGACGCAGACGAUGAGCAGCACGAACACAAUGGCCGGCUUGGGAGAAGAGCGCUCCAUCUUGUCCUGCUUUCCCUUGCUUGUUCAGAGUUCAGACCUCAGAGCUGAGACGAUACACUGUCCAUUUCGCUCAAAAUGGCUGGAUUUAUAGACUUGCCUCAUUGAAUUUUCUAAGAAUAUUGACAUGGUAAACGUAGCACAAAUUGAAAAUACAAAUCUGUCUAUUUCUCUCGAUCGUGUUCUGCUCGCCACUCUGAGUUGGGUUGAUCUGGACGGCUGGGUUGGGUUUUUGCUGUAUACUCUGAAAAAUUCAACGAUCCAAUGAGGUGCUGUUCUUUGUUUUUAAUGCUAGUGUUCCCUCCAUAUUUGUCACUUCUAACUUCCACUGGACUUGAGUUAAGCUAUACAUGCAUCAAAUUUAAUAAAAUUUCCAUUUAGAUACCAAAACGGAUGAGCAGAUUGACAACGUCAGUUCUUGUGGACUGGUUCACGCUUCGUCGAGAAUAAUCAGAAAAAGAGUGCGUGUUUUGGACUUUUGGCUGCAUUGCAUCUAUCAAUGAGUUUAGAUGAUACCUAUGUUCUUCAACCGAUGCCAUCAGCUGCAGCAAUGUCGAUACGCGGAGCUGGUCGAUGAUUCCAAGGUCCGCAUGGAAAACAACAUGGAUCAUAUCAUGCAUUGCCUGCCAAAUGCCAUCCCGGAGGUAAGGUGAGAGGAGUUCUUGCUGCACUGGUGUGGCCGGCCUCAUGGAGCCAACGGCGCUGCCCGUACAUCUCGCGUGUGCUUAUGGAGGAAGACAUGGAUGACGACAUGUUCUUCUCCCUGUACCCCGACCACCCCGCGCUCCUUGAGGCGCAGCAGCCGUUCGCCCAGAUCCUGUCGUCCUCGUCGGCUCUCUCCUCUGGCAUCUCCAACCACGUCAGUGGCGGCAAAUCCUUCACCGGUGUUCUGGACAGUGCGCCAAUGGCGGAGAAGGCGAGGAAUUUCUCCGGUGAGGACAGCCUGGAGGGUUCUGCUGCCUUGAUGAUGAUGCAGGGGAGCGACAAUGGCAUGGGACGGAAGGGUAGUAGGCACGGCGAGGACGAGCAGGAAGUCGAGCUGGGCCGGGCGAGCAAACUGAUGGCGACGCCGGAUGAGGAUGACGACGAUGGCGUCGGCGAGAUGUUGGAGCGGAUGAUGCUCAACGGGGACGAGGCAUGCCACACAGAGAUGAAGGCGCCGAGCGUCCCAGAGAAGAAAAAGGCCGGCGGGAAGGCGGCGCGGCGGAGGCAGGCGAAGGCGGAGGUGGUGGACCUGCGCGAGCUGCUCUUGUCAUGCGCGCAGGCGGUGUCAUCGGGCAGCCGACGGAGAGCCGGCGAACUCCUGGAGCAGAUCAAGCGGCACUCUUCGCCGACAGGGGACGCCACCGAGCGGCUGGCACAUUACUUCGCCGACGGUCUGGAGGCGCGGCUGGCCGGGGCCGGAGCGGUGAGCCUGGAUCACCGGCAGCUUGCGGCCGCCGAGCGCGCCUCGACCAUGGAAUUGCUGGAGGCGUACCAGCUGUUCAUGGCGGCGUGCUGCUUCAAGUGGGUGGCGUUCGCGUUCGCCAACAAGACCAUCCUACGCGCGGCGGAAGGGAGGAGCAAGCUCCACAUUGUGGACUACGGCGCGCAGUAUCACGGCCUCCAGUGGCCACGCUUGCUGCAGUGGCUGGCGGAGAGGGAAGGCGGCCCGCCGGAGGUGAGGAUGACGCUCGUCGGCCAACCCCAGCCCGGGUUCCGUCCGAACCGACUGCUCGAGAGCACGGGACGCCGGCUCGGCAACUGCGCGCGCGCGUUCGGCCUCCCGUUCAAGUUCCGCGCCAUCGCCACAGCGAGGUGGGAGACGGUCACCGCCGAGGACAUCGUCGGCGCCGACCCCGACGAGGCGGAGGCGGUCGUCGUCAACGACGUGCUCAGCCUGGGCACCCUCAUGGACGAGAGCGGCGUGUUCGACGACCCGAGCCCGAGGGACAUGGUCCUCGGCAACAUCCGUGGCAUGCGCCCGGUGGUGUUCGUCCAGGCCGUGGUGAACGGCGCCCACGGCGCGCCCUUCUUCCCGACGAGGUUCCGCGAGGCGCUCUUCUUCUUCUCGUCGCUGUUCGACAUGCUGGACGCCACGACGCCCAAGGAGGGGAGGCACCUGCGGGUGGUGCUGGAGCGGGACGUGCUGCGGCGGGCGGCGGUGGGGGUGAUCGCGGGCGAGGGGGCAGAGCGGGUGGAGCGGCCGGAGACGUAAAGGCAGUGGCAGGCGAGGAACCAGCGAGCGGGGCUGAGGCAGGUGGAGAUGGAGAAGGAGGUGGUGGAGGCGGUGCGGCGGAGGGUGAGGAAGCGGCACCACGAGGAGUUCGUGAUCGAGGAGGAUCGUGGGUGGUUGCUGCAGGGGUGGAAGGGCCGCAUCCUCUACGCUCACUCCGCCUGGGCACCGGCCGAGGGUUGACAUUACAUUACAACAGUUCGACGCGAGUUUUAAGUGUCCUGGCAGACCAAAACGACUAGCUUAAUUCGGUGUCCUUGCAAUUAGCAUAAAUGAAUUUUGUGAUUUAUGCUUUAAUGAAUUCCUACCGCAGAUGUUUCCUCCAAGUGUUGAUUUCAUAAACAUUUGUGGGUAGAUACUACUAGUGAUCAGGCACGCCAUAGCAGUUCUCACCAAAAAUACCCGGACACAGACGACGAAAACUCAUAAAACUAGGUGCCCCCUCCACUUUUUCCGGGCUUGGGACCGGCACUGGCAGUGUUAGGCGCCCCCCUACCCGAAACAGAACACCCCCAGAUAUGAAACAUACGAAAGAAAAGGCAGGAAAUAUGCAUGCAACAAAAUCCAGUUAACCCGUAUUCACAAGGACCACAAAGCAACUACCGUAACGACUAGAUACUAGAAGUCUAUGGCAGAUGGGCUGCGGCAGAGUAUGGCAUGUAAACUAGCAAUGAAAAUGCAAGAAAAUGACUGGUCAUGCAAAUGCGAUUCAGGAAACAAACCAUCAAUUUAGCUAGUAUAGUUUGCCUACAAGCCAACACACUACAUUGUUUUCUUUUAGAGAAAGGACAGCCGAUAACAAUCAAUAUUAUACGUGUAAAUGAAUGUCAAUCAAAAUUAGACGUGUAAAUGAAUGUCAUGAUGAAUCUUCAACAUCCGAACUGAAAUUUGUUCACGUAAAUAUGUUCUCACAGAUCUAAAAUGCAAUUUCAUCUUCAAUAUUGUGUUCACAGGAUUUACAUGAAAUACAAAGUAAGCGUAAGCGCAUUUCUGAAGUAAUAACGCAGACGAUUCAACCAUUGGUAUAUAGAUUAAACAAAUCAAUAGAACAUGGAUUGAGGAUAGCUAAGUUAUUGACAACAACAAUUUUAGGCCAAGAAAAUCCCCCAAAAAACGUUAGCUUAUGUACAUAUACUGACAAAAGGUAGACCAACACAAAAGAAAAUAAAAACAAGUUAAACUUGCAAUAAUAUUUAAUUUACUUGCAGAUUCAACAUCCUGUUAAAAAUCGUAUCAAAGUUUCAGCGGAAAGAGAGACGUAUGCAUCCAAGACUAUGUUCACUUAGAACAUCUACAAGAGAAUAGUAAUAUUUUGCUAUCCAAAAGGUUCAUCUAAAAAAUAUUGCACAUAAAAAUUACACACUCCUCCAACAAAAAUCUAAAAAUGAAUAAAUGGUAUUAGAAACCCAUAUUUUUUGCCUAAAUUUAUGAUACAAUUAAGAUAAUUUUAGGCAUGAGUAAAUAUUAAAAAUGUAUUUGAUAACUUGUUGAAGAUAUAUUUUCUAAUCUAAUUUUUAAAAUUUAGUUUUUAUUAUCAAUUUUAGACAUCUUGAAGAUGCUCAUAAAACAACCGUAAAUGCUAGUAUCAAUUUUCGAGUAGAGCAAAGGAAGCUGCUAAACGUUGUGCAGAUUAAGAUAUAAAUUGUAUGCUAUCUACUAAUAGUAUCAUAAUUUAGCCAACUUCUUUCGAGAGAGGAACUAUUCAAAUUAAUUAAAACUACAAAAUAUGGCAACAUAAAAAUUUAACGUGGAGGAGAUUGCUAAUUUUUUUCUAAAGAAACAAAGAACACACAAAGUCUGAUGCAUAAAUAAAAUAAGGAACCAUAUGGCCGUUUAGCUAAACUACUAAGAGUUGGUAUUCUCCCACUACUAAAAAUUUCGCCUUAACAACAGAAUAAUCUGAUGGACGAUGUUGAGAAAUAUGUUAAUGAUUGCACUAGACCUAUCUUAUUUUCACAAGAGGAAAAUGAUGCCACAGAACAACCCUAAAUCAAAAAUAACAAACAAAGAACACAUCUAGCAAGAACAUUCAAGGGCCGCAUUAAAAUGACACGAAGUUGAACGAAAGAAAAAUUUACAAGUUAUGAUUUGAACUAAAUUGAUCUUUUCCAAAACAUGAAACUGACAUAACUACAUGAACUAAAUUUAUAAGCAUGCAUGUAUUCAACUAAAAAUAUCCUGAAAUCGUGUACUAUGACACAUUUUCAAUAAAAUAUUUUUUAAACUCCCAUUUAAGUGCACUCAUACGGGCAAAAAGACAUAUAUAGUUGCUCAGUGAGACAGUUAAAUAAUCUCUUCAGCAUUUGGACGAUUAGCAACAACGAAUAUACCCUAUGGUCCUAUAUAAGGUUCUAUCUUGUCAAAUCUCAAAGUGGGACACUAUGCUAAAUAAAGAACAUCGAAAAAAAAUAAUGCCACGUACCAAACAAAGUCUAUUAAAAAAGAGAGCUUGUAUAAAAAUGCAACCAUCAUCUGCCAAGGUAAGGCUACCACCACUAGCUUCAAGUAAUUUUAAUAGUAAGUAUUCUAGUUUGGCAAACAAGGGAGUAUCACAACCUUCUAAAGGAAGAUCACUCUACAGCCUUUUAAGUAACAAGUCAAUAUUAGAUUCAUUAUGCCAAUAAAUUUAACAAACGCAUUUUUCGAAGAAUGGAACCAUCUUAUCAUAGUCAAUUAAACAUAUGCAAAUGGUCAUUUUUGCUAAAUUCUAAACAUACCAACAAAUGGAACUUCAUACCAUAACAUGAAAAGAACGAUUGGCAGAAAGUUCAUGUAACAAAGGUUCUCACAAUUGAAAUCAGCUUCAAUAUUGUCUUCAUAGGAUAUACAUAAAUUACAAACUCAGCGCAAAGCAUUCAGAAUUUAGGCCAUCAAACACCAUGGUUAAUACUCCCAACGCAUACUAUUCAAGCAUUAGUGCAGACUACAAACCUUCAUAUGCAAAGCAAUAUAAUCUGGAUUGCGCAAAGCAAAGUUGUGAACACAGUAAAAUAAAUUUAGGAUUAGAUUUCCUAAAUAAGAAUAAGUUAUCCUUAUGAUUAUGUUUAAUAUCAAACCGCAGUGGAAUGGAUAAGUCCAAAAAAAUAGUAAUCCAUAUUCGUCAUCAUGUUAAAGCAACUAUGAAGACUGUUUACUAUCACGUAUAAUCAGAACUAUAGCGUAACAAAGGAAUCAAAUAAUAAAGAAAACCCAAGUCAGAAAUUAGAAAACCUGGUUAGGGAUCAUGUCAUAAUCAAGAAUCCAAGAUGACAUUUAAUGCAAACAUUUUAGGCGUACAUCACAUUGCUAAAAACAUUUUGAAUAGGCCGAUUAAAGACUCUAAUAUGUAUUUAGACAUGAACAGAAGAUUCAAAAUUCAGAGUAACAUUCAGGGGUCUGCAGUCUAAUAGGAGGUAAAUAAACGCAUAACCAAAAAGAAUGACACAUAAGUAUAAUUAAACAAAAUUCUUACAUGAGCUAAAGAAAAAAUGUCAAGUCAACAACUCUCUUCUCUAUAAGACACAAAAGGCAUCAAAGCUUUCAAUAGCAAUAAAAAAUUGUCAAUUACUAGUACUAGCUCAUCAAUGUCCAGAACACACAAGACAUCAUAUUUAUUGGAACUCAUAACUCAUGCAAAGCUACACAGACAGCAUUCUAUUCACAGAAUAGUUCAUUGCAUAUAAUGACAUCAAUCGAACAAUCAUAAAGCAUCCAUAGAACAUUGACAUUAUAUCUAGACUUUUGAACAAAAUGCAGAAGGAAAACCAACAAGUUGGGAAUUAAUAUUUAGCAAAAAAAAAAUUAAAUGUUAGGGGACAUGAUGUAUUUAGUAACACAACCAGUUUCAGACCAGAAAAUAAAAUAUUUUAUUAAGCUACAAAACCCAAGAAUUAACCAAAAAGAGAUUUAAAAACACCAGAUAAUGUAUGAAGAAAUUAAGGCUGUUUCGAAUUAAAAAACAAAUUGAAACAAUGCACACAAAGUUUAAUCCACAAGUAAAAAUGACAACAAAACAAACCUAUGGACACAAUUGAAACUACGAAAGAGUGCUACCCACCCAAGAACAUGCAAGGGUCACACUAGUAUGAAAAAGUUCCACACAUGCAGGUAUAUAUGAAACAAACAAAGAAAGACUACACAAAACAAGGUCCUAGUUGAACUAAUUUAUCUUCAAAACGUACAUUGUUCAUUAUAAAAUAAAUAAAACCAUGUAACUGUGACAUAUUUUCAAUAAACUGCAUAAUAUAAGGGCUUUCACCCAUUUAAGCACAUCCAUACAGGCAAAACAUAUUGUAUAUAUUAGUUGUUCGGUUAGUAUGGAACUAACUGCACAUCAGUCAAGCAAUCUCUUUGGCAAGCAACAAUGAAUGGGGAUACUAUGCUACUAAGGUUCCUUCUUGGUAAAUCAUAGUGGUGGGGGGGGGGGGGGCCCUAUGGUGAUAUAGGGAAAAAUGAUGAUAUAAGGAAUAAGAAAAGCAUGUACAAGAUAAGAUGAAAUAAAAAGAUUAUGAUGUCAGGGGAGAUAAUUAUACAUACCAAGUCAGCAGACAGAAUUUCCAGUGUACAUAACGAUAAUGUAUCAUAUACUUCAAAGUAUAUUGUGUCAAGUGAUUAGAAACAAAAUCCAAGAGAUUCACCUAAAUCCAAAAGCCUUCGACACAAGAUAUAAUUUAUAAUAAUUUCUAUCAAGCAUAAUAUUUUCAAAAAUCCACAUUUACAUCUUUUAUGCACCUAGGCAAACAAUGUGGAGACCCUGCAAGCUGAUCUAAAAAUUUACUGAAAAUAUCCUAGUUCCUGAAAUCAAGAGUAAACAAUGCCAUAGAGUUUUAAUUCUAUUGCCAUGUCAUGGUAAUACAAGUUAAAUCAAAUGCAGGAUUAUCAAAAGAAAUUACCAUAUUACAACAAUUUUACAGACUAAAUCAGGACAAGGACGUCUGUAUCAUUUUAUAUUUACAAUUUGCAACAUCUGAAGGAUGCUUAAUAAACACAUGGAUUACAAGACAAUACACCAGACAAACAGACAAAGGGCCAACCCUAUAUUGGAAUGAACCCACAAUCUAGCUAAUCAUGGAACAGUACAAAGCCUAGAUGUAAAGAUACUACUGGAGAAACAAAAAGGAUCAACCAAUUAGAAAUUAGUGCUACCGAGAACUCAGCUCCUCCAGAGUCCAUAAAUUUCUACCCAGAAGAACCGUCAAACAGAUAGCUUUAUAAUGUCACACUUUACAAUCAACAUCGACUUAUCUUCAGGGCAGGCAUGCAAAUUCAGGUCCAUAUAUUUUCUCGAAACAGAUCUUCGAAUUAAUUUGACCAAAAAUAGUAAGAUUCCAGAAUCAUCUUCACAGCUUUUUAUAUUGUUCAAAGGAAGUAACUGCCAAAGGAAUCCUCAACCACAGAAACUUUAGGGUGCCCCUUUUAGCUACUACAUAAUCACCUUCACAAUAACUGACUAAUAUAGCUUGCCGGAAGAAAACAAAUAAUCAAAAUCCUCUGAGAACUAUGACCAGGUCUAAAUGUUCCGGCAAAAAUGGAUUAACCAUAUUCACAAUAACUGACUAAUAUAGCUUGCCGGAAGAAAACAAAUAAUCAAAAUCCUCUGAGAACUAUGACCAUGUCUAAAUGUUCCGACAAAAAUGGAUUAACCAUACAAGUGUACUACCAGGAUUGGACUUGUAACUACAGAUUUCCAAGCAGACAAAUUGCCUCCAAAUAAGAUCAUCACUUUUUAGUUUUGAUCAGAAAAAAAUAGCACCAGUCUUGAAUGGAACGGAGAAACCAUCACCAAUGACUAAUCCUAAACAUGACCACCACAUGCUUAAAUUUCUCUGGUUUUAAUAUGCCAAAAAUGUUCAUAUUGUUCAUAUUACAGAUAAAGUGGUCGGACAUCGGUGGUAAUGGAAGCAAACCAACUGCACAUAUUGAAAAUUCCAUAAAUUGCAAUUAGUACAAGGUUCCUAACACAAACACCAUUAAACAGGAAAAUCACAGGAUCUGUACCUCAAACCGAGCAGGUAAGUAAUCUGUAGUUCAUGUACUAGCAUAAAAUUAAUCCGCAGGGAAGGCAGUCAAAAAGAGCUCCUUUAAUCCUCAUGAAUAAAAACUGAAGAACUAUAGCAACGCCCUCUUUAUCUCAUAAACUUUUAGCACAUAUGUUCCAAUUUUUAAAAAGCCAAAAAGCACUGCAUGGCCCUUUAGGUAACACCCAACCAUCCUCAAAUAAUCUGAAGUGGACGUCUUGACGGAAUCGAGCAAAUUAACAUCAUGGUGAUUUGAAAGGUCUGAACAAACCUAAGAAAACCAUCUCAAAUCCUGUUUACGUGUUCUGAUAGUACUUGACGUUAUCAUGAAAUAAACAGAUCUGAAUCAAAAAUUGCAUAAUUGCAAGCAGCCGAAAUGUCUUGAACUACCAAGCUUCAAAACUUGAAAGGAACAGAAUAAUCCUGUACUCUUUAGGCCAGUGACCAAUUUCAGAGCACAAACUUCUGUUUAUCUACCAUUGAACAUUCACAAGAUAUCUUAACCUACAUGAAAAAUCCAUCCCACCGAACAGAAAUUGGGGCAAAACAACUCGGCCGUGCAAUCUUAACAGAGUAUAUUGCCAAAGCAGAAAAUCACGAUUAGCCAUAAACAAAUCAAAACUAGGGUACCAUUCAGAAAACUAACGCAACAGCAGAGACAAAUCGCGGAAAAUAGACCCCCAAACCGAACGGAUCAAGCAGUCGCCACCCCCAAACCAAACGGAAUUGAACCGAUCGAGCAUCACCUGAUGAAUCAACGAAGGGCAGAGAACGAGGUGAGAUCGAAACCGAUAGCUCCCUUACCUACCAACUUACCAGCCCACCCGCGGCGGGAUAGACGAGGGAGGAACAAACCACGCGAGAAGAGAAGGAAGCCAUGGCAGAGAGGCAGGGGGUCGGGAUGCAUUUAUAGCGGAGAGCCUCCCAGGAGGAAAC
Molecule: long non-coding RNA, 41369 nt
Filed under: Oryza brachyantha (malo sina)
Lineage: Eukaryota; Viridiplantae; Streptophyta; Magnoliopsida; Poales; Poaceae
Description: long non-coding RNA (OBRA_LNC003383)
Source: RNAcentral